Pelobates cultripes (western spadefoot toad) is the source of this 2477-nucleotide non-coding RNA. Lineage: Eukaryota; Metazoa; Chordata; Amphibia; Anura; Pelobatidae. The record is from the annotation of a GenBank genome assembly.
GUGUUUGUGUGUGUGUAUAAAAACCUAAACAAACCAGUUAUAACUACAGUCCCUUCCACUAGCUGGAAAGCAAGGGUGCCCCCUGCUGGUAAUUUUGUAGCACUUUACUCUCUAUAGUACAGUAGUUCCAUUAAUUACUGGCAUAUAAUGCGAAGAUUUAUAUAUUUAGUAUUCUUAAUACAUUAUAUCAUCCAAUUACAAUAGAAUGGCAUUACAUUUGUAAAUAGCCACAUUAUAUAACUGGAGAAUAAUUAGAUUUAUUUUGUAAUUUUUAUAACUUGAAUUAGUAGGGAAAAAAAGUAAAAUACUAUAUUUCUGUCCAAUUUUAUAGCCAUACAAAAACACUAGAACACAAAAUAAAAUAUUUUGUGUAACAACAAAAUAAAAAAUAUAUAAAACAUAAUAACCGCUUCCCUCAGCAGCCUUCCCACAGGGAUGCCCAAUCAAACAUGAAUGUACAAAAAUAGGGGAAUACAGCUGUUUUAAACUAAAAGCAAUUAACAAUACAUAGUGUAAUAAAGUAUUAGGCAUGUAUAAAAACACGCUACUGGUAGCACUCACAGGAUGGAAAUAGUCAAAGCGCCUUAAGGGUGCCACCCCUAGGCCAUAGGGGGGUUGUGGAAAUCCACCUGGCUUCUUAGGAACACAGGAACCAGAAGGAAGCAGGAAUCAAAUAGUAUAAACGGUUUAUUAAUAAGAAAACAGCGGUCCUACGCAUUUCGUUCUAGACAUAGAACUUCCUCAGGGACCUCUUCAAUUUAAAACAAUUUCAUGCAAUACUAUUGAAAUUGAUUCUUGCUUCCUUCUUGUUCCUGUAUCUCUAAGAAGCAAGGUGGAUUUCCACAACUCCUCCCCCCCCCCCCCAUGGACUUGGGGUGGCACCCUUAAGGCGCUUUGACAAAUUAUCAUCCUGUGAGUGCUACCAGUAGCGUGUUUUUAUACAUGCCUAAUACUUUAUUACACAAUGAUUUGUUAAUUGCUUUUUAGGUUAAAAUGGUUGUAUCCCCCAAUUUUAUAUCCAUGCCUUUAAAGUAAAAAUUUUGUAUAAAAUAAAAACUAGCUUCAAAUGCUUAUAGCAUUGACAAAAUAGGAAUAAUCCAAGAAUUCUUACCACGAGAAUCCCAAGUUGUAGGUUCUCCACCCACACAAAGCACAAAUAUUCCUAUAUUCCAGGACAAAAAUCCAGAAUCUGCUGGAAUAACGUUAUGACCCCAAUUAUCACAACAAAGGCAUAUAAAAUAAACUGAAAUGAAUAUAAAUACAAACAGACGUUGCAGGGGAGUUGAGGGGACACAGCAGGAUAAUGCCAACGUUAGCUUAAUAAAUCCAUUUUGGUGUAUGGAUCAUGCCCUGCAGUCUCACUGCCCAAUUCUCUGCUUUUUUAGAGUUAAAUCACUUUUGUUCCUGUUUAUGCAGCCCUUGUCACAUCUCCCCUGGCUGUGACAGAGUCAGCCUGCAUGAAAAAUGGUUUCAUUUUCAAUCAGCUGUCACUAAGUUCAAGUUACAGAGAUAAACAUUUAAUCUUACACAGGAGGCACCUGCAGGAUCUAGAAGGUUAUUAACAGAGUAGGAGAUAAGAAAUUCUAAAUUAAACAAUGUUCAAUAAAGGAAGUUUAAACAUUGGAUGUAUCUGUACAGGAAGUAUUUAGGAAGGCUGUGCAAGUCACAUGCAGACAGGUGUGACUAGGGCUGUGUAAACAAAGUGAUUUAACUUAUAAAUGGCAUAGAAUUGAGCAGUAAGAUAACAGACCAAAAGUCUGUUUGGAAUCUUGGAAGCCCUCUAGUGGCUAUCUGGGUGACAGUUACAGAGGGCAGGCUUAGAAGUUGUCUGGAACUGCAAUGUUUUACAUUGCAGCAGUGCAAAAGUGCACUUAGCUGAAGUGGUCUGGAACAGUGUGCCUUUAAAAAUCUCCUAUAAUUUCCACAAAUUCUAUUUUUAUAAGCUAUGCAGCCUAGAUGUGGUAGCCUUUAUAUCUCAGUACUAUAUAUGAGAAAUUUGACCUAAAAGACAUUUUUAGGAUUGAUCUAAUGUUGGUUCCCAAGCCAGUUGUCGAGGCAUAUCAUCAAUCCCGGAUUUAGGAAUUUCGCAGUUUUGUUCCACUGGGGAUACGAUACAACCUUGACUGCUGGUGUGCUUUGCAGACUACUGGUCUCAUUCUAGUGUGGAACCAUCCACAUAUACUUAUAAGUAACUCUUAAAUGUUGGCAAUCAGGAAUGCUAUAGUGUUUUGAAAAUUCUCCACUGCUACAAACGUCACUUUAAGCUGUGAAGGGGUUUACAAUUUUUUUUUUUAAAUGAAGUAUUAAUGUUUUUUCUUCACUUGUAAAUCUGUUUGUUGUGCCUAUGGCAGUUGCAAUUCUUGUAACAUUAUUUUGAUGGAGAGCUUUCUCCUUUUGUAAAUUAUGGAUGUCCCAUCUUUUUCAGAUUGUCUUUUAAAUGGGACUCCCUCUGCACUAUGGUAAAUAUAACAUAUUGG